RNAcentral lists this transfer RNA (70 nucleotides) under bacterium. Its description in RNAcentral is "tRNA-Gly". It matches the Rfam family "tRNA". Rfam says of the family: Transfer RNA (tRNA) molecules are approximately 80 nucleotides in length. Their secondary structure includes four short double-helical elements and three loops (D, anti-codon, and T loops). Further hydrogen bonds mediate the characteristic L-shaped molecular structure. tRNAs have two regions of fundamental functional importance: the anti-codon, which is responsible for specific mRNA codon recognition, and the 3' end, to which the tRNAs corresponding amino acid is attached (by aminoacyl-tRNA synthetases). tRNAs cope with the degeneracy of the genetic code in two manners: having more than one tRNA (with a specific anti-codon) for a particular amino acid; and 'wobble' base-pairing, i.e. permitting non-standard base-pairing at the 3rd anti-codon position. The record is from RNAcentral.
GGGAGUAGCUCAGUGGUAGAGCAUCACCUUGCCAAGGUGGGGGUCACGGGUUCGAAACCCGUCUCCCCCU